CAGGGUUCAGCUGCCACCGACGCCAGGUCCUGGGACCAUAAGCUCGCGUGUCUCCACAGUUGCACAUUCCCGUCCGUCUGCAGCUCAUUAUCUGGGCCACAAGGACGUUACCCCAUGACUUGGAAGGACGCGCCAUCACGCAGGAGGUCACAAAGUGGACGGCAGGAAAGCCAGCCUUCCCUCUUCUGCCUUCCUCCUCACCUCUCUCUCUCUCUCUCAGUACUUUGUUCUUGUUAAUAUCAGUGUAUCAAUGAGCCUGGUUUUUUGCCUUUUAUUAUUAUUAUUAACAUAGUGAGCACAGGCGUUUCGUACUCUGCGUCUGAUUUUCCAGCAGCGAAGCCUCUGCCAUCCGCCCCACCGUCCCGCUGGCUCUUGCUCAUUGUCUUUCCCUUCCCUGCUUGCCUGCUCCCUCACGCCCCUGCUCUGCGUGUUGGAUGUGAAAAGGAUGUCAGGGACUAGGCGGAGGGCAUGUUCCUCCGAGCCCAGGCUGCACCUUGGCACAGUGGAGGGUCCACCCACCCCAGGUAGCCCAGGUGAGGCCCCUGGGUCCCCCUGUCACUCAGGCUGUCCACAUGAAAGUCCAGAUGUCUCCGACCAACAGAUCCCUGGGAGAAAGGACGUGACGCUGCCGCUUCACCGGGAUGGGUUCCCACGUCCCUCCGCGUUGACCCACAGCUUCCUUACGGUCUUGUAUGUAGUUUGAUGCUUUUAAGGGCCGGCCACGGUGGCUCAACGCCUGUAAUCCCAGCACUUUGGGAGGCCAAGGUGGGCGGAUCAUGAGGUCAGGAAUUCGAGACCAG
Molecule: long non-coding RNA, 800 nt
Filed under: Homo sapiens (human)
Lineage: Eukaryota; Metazoa; Chordata; Mammalia; Primates; Hominidae
Description: non-protein coding lnc-FAM71E1-2:6
Source: RNAcentral